AACGCUGGCGGCGUGCCUAACACAUGCAAGUCGAACGAGAAAGUGGAGCAAUCCAUGAGUAAAGUGGCGACCGGGUGAGUAACACGUGACUAACCUACCUCCGAGUGGGGAAUAACUCCGGGAAACCGGGGCUAAUACCGCAUAACAUCGCAAGAUCAAAGCAGCAAUGCGCUUGGAGAGGGGGUUGCGGCUGAUUAGCUAGUUGGUAGGGUAAUGGCCUACCAAGGCGAAGAUCGGUAUCCGGCCUGAGAGGGCGCACGGACACACUGGAACUGAAACACGGUCCAGACUCCUACGGGAGGCAGCAGUGGGGAAUUUUGCGCAAUGGGGGAAACCCUGACGCAGCAACGCCGCGUGGAGGAUGAAGCCCCUUGGGGCGUAAACUCCUUUCGACCAAGACGAUAAUGACGGUACUGGU
Molecule: ribosomal RNA, 418 nt
Filed under: uncultured bacterium
Lineage: Bacteria
Description: bacterial SSU rRNA
Rfam family: Bacterial small subunit ribosomal RNA
Source: RNAcentral